This is a long non-coding RNA of Syngnathus typhle (broad-nosed pipefish), 5582 nucleotides long. RefSeq lists it as uncharacterized. The record is from RefSeq and is a predicted model, not a curated record. The transcript is spliced from 3 exons. Lineage: Eukaryota; Metazoa; Chordata; Actinopteri; Syngnathiformes; Syngnathidae.
UGGUCUGUCAAGUCAAAAUAAAACAGAUCAGUAACAAGAAGAACUUGAAGCUGUCUUCUAUAUAUGAGAAGGAGUUAUAGUGAGAACUCACUGCUUCAGAAGACAGCAGUGAGCAACAUAAACCAAGUAAGAUGUCUGAGAGUGGCAGAAAGCACAAAAGUGUGCAGGGCACAGACUCACAAUCACAAGUGUCUGACAAGGAAGCAGUUGAAGAGGAGCUGCUGCAGUGCAGUACAACCAUGCAGCCACAAGUGACUGAUGGCACAAUGGUCAGCAACCCGACUACCUCAGCAGAGCCGCAACUAGGCCGAAGAGUCCGCAAUAGGACAGAAAAUGGUCAAGAACUGCACGGUGAGCAAUUAAGAAGAGUUGCACAUCGUUUCAGUGUGUGCUAUGACAAGUGGAAGGAUGGUAUUAAAGUGGCCAAACAAGCGCUUCGUGGAGACACUGGAAGGAUGACUCAGCGAAACCAGGUGACUAGGUCUUCAUCAAAGUAAUCAAAAGAAAGACGUGGUCUUCACCCCGGUGGGAGGAACCAUUCCAAGUCCUAUUCGCCACACCCAGAGCUGUCAAGAUUGCAGAAAGACCCAGCUGGAUACAUCUCAGCCACUGUAAGCUGCAGAGAGUGCUUAGCUCCUAGGCCCCGGUCAGGAGGAAGUCUGGCUACGAAGAGGGUGUCAAUUAUAGUUUGGCAUCAGUCUCAAACCGGCGAAGAACUAAGAACCCUGGCCAUUUAGCUCCCUAGGGGUUUAGGUGGCUCUGUGGAACUGAACGGAAAAUGGCACUCAGACGAGUGCUUGUCUGUGCUGUGGCUGUAGCAUGCUUGCCAAUGACAUGGAGUGUCCAGGGUCCCCAACGGGAAAGUGGAACUUCCUCUCGAAUCAAGAGAAUGACGACCGAACUGUUGACGAAGUAUAUAAAGAUAAACCCAGAUAUACCACAUGCAGACAACAUGUGGUACCAGUAUGUGUCAAUGUUGGCCGAAACAUACACUCAAACUGAAUGUUAUGUAUGUUCCAUAAUGCCACGAUCAAGUCAACAGCCCGUCCUACAUGCCCGACCCAUGCCAGAGAAAAAUGGAUGGUGUUUCGCAAUACUAAGGGCUUUUGGGUUUAAUCCCCUCAAAGGACUGAGACGGUCGGGAAUUACUGAGGCACAACUAGCCGCCCAUCCCUGUUACAAAAUCUCUAGGCCAUUCACAAUAGUGUCAAAAGGUUCUGUCGUCACACCCGCACCAGUGACUCUUGAAGUGAGUGAAACCAUCUCACAUCCCCUGUGCUUCCGAUGAAGACGUGUUGAUGGAAUAAAGGUGGGAGAUACAAAACGUUGCAUCAACACCGCACGUCUAGAACCUUCCAGCGAGACCUCGAUGAAUACCACAGUAGCAAUCAGACAAAUCCUAACAGGAGGCAAAAAUCCCCACUCUAUCAUCGAAGGGGGAUGGUAGCUCUGUGGUCACCGAGGCUACGCAGUCCUUCCAGGACAAUGGGAUGGCACAUGUGCCGUCGUAUAUGUGUCAGAUCACACUGUGUUCCUCAUUCUGACACAUUUUCAGGAACAUCAUCGGCGAAAGACACGUGCAGCUGUUGCUCCCACCUUCCGUCCCUACAACAGUGUCUGGGGCUCAGACGUACCAGAUGAAUACAAGCUUUGGAGCACAGGACAAAAGGUGGCACUCAAACUCUUCCCACAGAGGCCCUUACAGGUUAUCAGACGGAACUGCACGCUCUGAGACUAAUGGCACUACAGUCCCGAAUGGUUUUGGACCUUCUGACAGCCGAAAAGGAGGUGUGUGUGAAAUUGUUGGUACCUCCUGUUGUACCUACAUCCCAGGAGAAAAUGACACCCACAUCGAGUAUGCUCUACAAGGACUUCGGAACCUCCGUAGGGCUAUGUCUGUCAGGUUUAUUUCGAUGACUGAAUAACUAUUAAGAGAAGAGCAACAGCAAACAAACCACAAGUGAGACAGAAUAUUAAGUCUUUUCUCGCGAGGAGUGCAGUACAGAUAGCUUACAACAAUCUCUACACACACUAAAUCUCUGUAUGCACUCCCGCUCUUUUUAUUUGGAUUUGCCCUACCCACAAUUUGUGAGACAAGCCCCUAAAGGAAGGAGGGGGAAAGCAUGUGGGCUUUGCCUCGAAAGGAAAAAUCACUAGGUGUUUACAUACUAAUGAAAACAUCUGGGAAGAGGAGUUUGAGUGGACUGGAUACAGAAGAGAAAACCUUUGACCUCUAGUUAAAACAUAGCAAGGGGAGUUUUACGACAUUGUGUAGGAUGCAACAAGCUAAGUUAUUUAUUACUGGUUAUAUACAUUCCAACCUAAUCCUACGAUCAAGACAGUUAGGAAACCCUGACUUUAAUGGUCACUUGGAGGUUCAUCUGGGGUGCAGGACAGCAAUGAGGCAUGUUGUCUAACAAAGUGGUCUUUGUUAGAAAGGAACUGUCCUUCUGUGGUACAUCAUAAAAACAGCAAGCAUAUAUUGCAGUAAUAUUGCGGUAAAGCAUUGUUUAGAGAACGCAUGAUAACAUAUAUAUACAUUUUUCUAACAAUGUCCCAGGACGAAACUCCGGCCACGGAUGUCCAUCCCUUUUGGUGGCUGUUUUACAGCAAUUGGAGGCAACUUCUCUUGAAAGUUGCAGUUCUUUUAGUUGCCAUACUAUUAUUUCUAUGUAUUUUUACAUCAUGCAUCAUACCUUGUAUUCGUCACAUGAUGUCAACAUCAGCGUUUGCUGUCCAGAAUAUCAUGUUGGUCCAGCGUGAACAAGAUGAGUGGGACCACCUUGCAUAAAUCGCCUACCUGUUUGUUUUUUUCUUUUUGAUGAUCCAGAACAAAAUACAUUCCAUCAUAACGAACAUGGCCAAAGCCGAAUGGAGAACUGUAGUUCUGAUGAACUCUGGAAUGUAAACUUUCAUACUUUUUGAUGUUACUAUACUAUAUUGUGUAGGCAUAUACUCAUUUAUACGCAUAUGUAGUUAUUAGUUGAUGUUUUGUUUUCCCAUGAAUUCCAAUGUUAAACAGGGGGGAAUGUUGGGAAAAAUAUAUUUUUUAUCAUUGGAUUCUAUGUAUCUACUUAUAUGUGAAAGACCUUCCACAGGAUGUGACAGUUUGAGCUCGUGAUAAUUACUUGGGAGCAGAUGGCUGGCGAAGGAGCUCAUGACUGGAGUCAGGAGUCGCGCUAUACAAUAAGCCCCAUAGUUAGCUAUACAUGAACAGAUAAUGAGGUUGUUAUGGGAUGGCUGAAGCAGACAAACGUCUUAUUUAAGUAGAAGUCAUGAGUACGCCACAGAGGUAUGCAUCCCAGGGGCACUAAGACUACACCUUUGUUAAGCUAAAGUCAUGAGACAACCAUACUGCUCUGUCCGUAAUAGUAUCCCUGUUGUUCUGUGAUCAUGAGAUAUAAUUGUGGAAUGUCCUUCCUGUCUAAAGAAACUAUGCAUUCAUGUACACUUGCCCCAUUGUUGUUCCUCGAUAAAAGGCAUUACCAAACUGGAAGAAGAGCCCGAAUCUCAGCCACACUUGCUGUGUGUCUGAUUUGCGCCCUUCUGCAGAAGAAGUCGCUCGCCAUCGAAGACACCUCCUGCCUCUGUGAGAUUCUUUUCAGAUAACUCACUGUAGCAUUGCUUAAAGAGCGUCUUUGUGUUUUAGGAUGGCUUUACUGCUCCCACUUGCUUUCUUUGGAGGCAUGAUUAGGGGUUAAUACAAUCCUCAAAGUAACAAAAAUACAAUAACAACGGAGUCAGUCGGCAUCCUGGCCGCGCGGUCGGGUUUUCUCGGGUCCUCCCGGCUCAUCUCGCGAGGCUCGACCUCCGAAUUUUGUUCAACAACCGAAGAAAAAAAAUCUCUACUUUUGUGUUCGAAUUCCAAUUAUUUCGAGAACCGGGACGUUCGAAAACCGAGGUUUGACUGUAAAACAAAUAGAUGCAGCUCACUGACAAGUGCCGCUGUUUGAGCUUAUUUUAGAAGAGUUCUGCGGGCGACUCAUGCGGUCCUCACGGGCGACCUGGUGCCCGCGGGCACCGUGUUGGUGACCCCUGCUAUAGAAUGAUGUUUAAAGUCGUAACAGGUUGAAUUAGUUGAAAAAUGUAGAAAUUUAAAGGGAAAAACGAAAUUUGGGAAAGUUUGGUGUGAAUUUCAAAAUUUUGAAUUUUUGGUAAGGGGGAAGUUGUGGAAUAGGUAGACUAAACAUGAACAUUUGAAAGUUGGGUGUUAUACACAGCGGGCUCAUACUUAACUACUUGCUUCUGUUUAGGCCCUUCAGCGUUUAAGCCCUUGAAUCCUUAGGUUGGGUUGAACUCUGCCUUAAAGUCUUGUCUUAGCUGCAUGUAGCCGUUUUAGCUCUUCUAAACGUGUUAGUUCUCUUUUUAAGCCAUCAAGCGACUUCUGCCUUGCAGCGUGCUCCUCUUGCUGUUUCUUUCUGAGAGCGCCUCACAGUUCUCUUUCUCUAUCUUACCUUCUGCAUCUUCCUUUUGGGCUUGCAGAAGACGGGCUUUUGCGUCUUCUUCUUCUGCUGCAACUAUCAGAUUAUUUUCAGUUUCAAGUGCUAACAUUCUCUCUUGCUGUUGUUCUUGUUCAGACAUUAUCUGUAGUACAGCUUGUGUGGCUGCAUACUCAGCAGCAGCUUCUUGUCUUUUAACUGCUGAUUGACCUCUGCAAACACUAUCACCCCUAGUACUAUAUUUUAACCUACCGCUGACUGUAAUUGCAAAUACAGAGGGUGCAUCAGGCCAAAUACAGGUUGUCCAUUUUGUGGCGCACUUCAUGUGUGGUGCUGCCAAUCUUUUGGUAUUCAUCAUACACUUGAUUCAGUUCAGAGAGUUCUAGUUGAAUAUUACUAAUGUGCCUCUGAAGCGUAUCACUAGAAUCCUGCUGAAAUACUGAUUUUUUGGCCACCUUGAUUAGGGCCUUCUACCACUCAUAACUUCUCUGAAAGCGACGUAGAAACUCGUUUAUUUUUACACUGUGAAGUUCUUUAUCUGUCAGUUGCAAAAGAGCGCGCCCUCUUUUGCUUCUACGUGGUGGUAGCUGCUUAGACCCAUCUACCUCUAAAAGCAGCUCUGUCUGAUCUACACUGACAUUUUUACACUUGACUGAUGAAUUAAACUUUAAAUGUCAACUUUACCCAAAACUAAAUGAAUUGGGCUCUCGAUCUUCAAACCAAUAUUAACAUAAGUGGAUGAUAAGAAAUCAACAUAUGUCACAAAUGCUCCUUCUUUCUUGAGGAAAACAAUAUAACACGCUACAACGUUCCCUGUUGUUAUCCACUCUCUUAUGUCCUCUUUCAAUACACAACUUAAGUGUCUAUCUUAAAUAAAACUGAAUGAAAAACGGUAAAUUGAUGUGCCAGGUUUUUCAUAUUUCUAGCUUUGAUCUGUAGUCGCCCUCCUUCAUUGAGCACGUUUUGACCUGUCGUCGUCCUCCUUCAUUGAGCACGUGCGAGCAGUCAUGCAAACACUUCAAACUUUUAGUGUGAACCCCGAACCGAAAAAACGAAUUUGAAUGUUAAAAAAAAGGCUAAUUUAACAGAUUUUGCCUAUGGCGGGCAUUUUUUUUACGUAACCCAACGAUAAACGGGGGAACA